Molecule: transfer RNA, 71 nt
Filed under: Loxodonta africana (African savanna elephant)
Lineage: Eukaryota; Metazoa; Chordata; Mammalia; Proboscidea; Elephantidae
Rfam family: tRNA
About the family: Transfer RNA (tRNA) molecules are approximately 80 nucleotides in length. Their secondary structure includes four short double-helical elements and three loops (D, anti-codon, and T loops).
Source: Rfam by way of RNAcentral
GCAUUGGUGGUUCAGUGGUAGAAUUCUCACCUUCCAUAUGGAGGACCUGGGUUCAAGUCCCAGUCAGUGCA